Molecule: small RNA, 29 nt
Filed under: Bombyx mori (domestic silkworm)
Lineage: Eukaryota; Metazoa; Arthropoda; Insecta; Lepidoptera; Bombycidae
Description: ovarian small RNA-32879
Source: RNAcentral
UGAUGGCCUUGGUUGCUAACGUUAAGGGC